Molecule: ribosomal RNA, 191 nt
Filed under: uncultured bacterium
Lineage: Bacteria
Description: partial 16S ribosomal RNA
Rfam family: Bacterial small subunit ribosomal RNA
Source: RNAcentral
CCUACGGGAGGCAGCAGUCGGGAAUUUUGGGCAAUGGGCGAAAGCCUGACCCAGCAACGCCGCGUGAAGGAUGAAAUCCCUCGGGAUGUAAACUUCGCAAGAACGGGAAGAAUAAGCGAGAGUUAAUAUCUUUCGUGAUGACGGUACCGUUUGUAAGCUCCGGCUAACUCCGUGCCAGCAGCCGCGGUAAU